This 430-nucleotide unclassified non-coding RNA is filed under the name soil metagenome. Its description in RNAcentral is "partial contains 5.8S ribosomal RNA, internal transcribed spacer 2, and large subunit ribosomal RNA". The stretch from base 1 to 120 matches the Rfam family "5.8S ribosomal RNA", at positions 35 to 154 of the family's 154-position model. The record is from RNAcentral.
GAUGAAGAUCGCAGCGAAAUGCGAUACGUAAUGUGAAUUGCAGAAUUCAGUGAAUCAUCGAAUCUUUGAACGCAUAUUGCGCUCUCUGGUAUUCCGGAGAGCAUGCUUGUUUGAGUAUCAGUAAACACCUCAACUCCCUUUUCUUUUUUGAAAUUGGAGCUGGACUUGAGUGAUCCCAACGCUUUCUUCCAAGAAAGUGGCGGGUUGCUUGAAAUGCAGGUGCAGCUGAACUUUUCUCUGAGCUAUAAGCAUAUCUAUUUAGUCUGCCUAAAAAACAGAUUAUUACCUUUGCUGCAGCUAACAUAAAGGAGACUAGUUCUUGUGCUGACUGAUGCAGGAUUCACAGAGACAGCUUCGGCUGACUUUGUAAACUCGAUCUCAAAUCAAGUAAGACUACCCGCUGAACUUAAGCAUAUCAAUAAGCGGAGGA